RNAcentral lists this ribosomal RNA (245 nucleotides) under uncultured bacterium. RNAcentral describes it as "partial 16S ribosomal RNA". It matches the Rfam family "Bacterial small subunit ribosomal RNA", at positions 524 to 768 of the family's 1533-position model. The record is from RNAcentral.
UACGUAGGGGGCAAGCGUUGUUCGGAAUUACUGGGCGUAAAGCGCGUGUAGGCGGUCUGGUAAGUCGGAAGUGAAAUCCCUCGGCUCAACCGGGGAACUGCUUUCGAUACUGCCAGACUUGAGUGCGGGAGGGGAGAGCAGAAUUCCCGGUGUAGCGGUGAAAUGCGUAGAUAUCGGGAGGAAUACCGGUGGCGAAGGCGGCUCUCUGGACCGUGACUGACGCUGAGACGCGAAAGCGUGGGGAU